This 324-nucleotide ribosomal RNA is filed under the name uncultured bacterium. RNAcentral describes it as "bacterial SSU rRNA". It matches the Rfam family "Bacterial small subunit ribosomal RNA", at positions 28 to 334 of the family's 1533-position model. The record is from RNAcentral.
GACGAACGCUGGCGGCGUGCUUAACACAUGCAAGUCGAACGGAGUGCCUAAGAAAGAGGAUUCGUCCAAUGGAUUAGGUUACUUAGUGGCGGACUGGUGAGUAACGCGUGAGGAACCUGCCUUCCAGAGGGGGACAACAGUUGGAAACGACUGCUAAUACCGCAUGAUACGUCGAAGCCGCAUGACUUUGACGUCAAAGAUUUAUCGCUGGAAGAUGGCCUCGCGUCUGAUUAGCUAGUUGGUGGGGUAACGGCCCACCAAGGCGACGAUCAGUAGCCGGCCUGAGAGGGUGGACGGCCACAUUGGGACUGAGACACGGCCCAA